GAUGAACGCUCGCGGCGUGCCUAAUACAUGCAAGUCGAGCGAACAGACGAGGAGCUUGCUCCUCUGACGUUAGCGGCGGACGGGUGAGUAACACGUGGAUAACCUACCUAUAAGACUGGGAUAACUUCGGGAAACCGGAGCUAAUACCGGAUAAUAUAUUGAACCGCAUGGUUCAAUAGUGAAAGACGGUUUUGCUGUCACUUAUAGAUGGAUCCGCGCCGCAUUAGCUAGUUGGUAAGGUAACGGCUUACCAAGGCGACGAUACGUAGCCGACCUGAGAGGGUGAUCGGCCACACUGGAACUGAGACACGGUCCAGACUCCUACGGGAGGCAGCAGUAGGGAAUCUUCCGCAAUGGGCGAAAGCCUGACGGAGCAACGCCGCGUGAGUGAUGAAGGUCUUCGGAUCGUAAAACUCUGUUAUUAGGGAAGAACAAAUGUGUAAGUAACUAUGCACGUCUUGACGGUACCUAAUCAGAAAGCCACGGCUAACUACGUG
RNAcentral lists this ribosomal RNA (497 nucleotides) under uncultured bacterium. RNAcentral's name for it is "partial 16S ribosomal RNA". It matches the Rfam family "Bacterial small subunit ribosomal RNA", at positions 28 to 507 of the family's 1533-position model. The record is from RNAcentral.